RNAcentral lists this ribosomal RNA (253 nucleotides) under uncultured bacterium. Its description in RNAcentral is "partial 16S ribosomal RNA". It matches the Rfam family "Bacterial small subunit ribosomal RNA", at positions 524 to 776 of the family's 1533-position model. The record is from RNAcentral.
UACAGAGGGGGCAAGCGUUAUUCGGAAUUAUUGGGCGUAAAGGGCGCGUAGGCGGCUUGGCAAGUGGAUGGUGAAAUCCCUCGGCUUAACCGAGGAACUGCCGUCCAAACUGCUUCGCUUGAGACCGGGAGAGGUGAGUGGAAUUCCCAGUGUAGCGGUGAAAUGCGUAGAUAUUGGGAGGAACACCAGUGGCGAAGGCGGCUCACUGGACCGGAACUGACGCUGAGGCGCGAAAGCGUGGGGAGCAAACGGG